Molecule: ribosomal RNA, 252 nt
Filed under: uncultured bacterium
Lineage: Bacteria
Description: partial 16S ribosomal RNA
Rfam family: Bacterial small subunit ribosomal RNA
Source: RNAcentral
UACGUAGGGGGCUAGCGUUAUCCGGAUUUACUGGGCGUAAAGGGUGCGUAGGUGGUUUCUUAAGUCAGGAGUGAAAGGAUACGGCUCAACCGUAGUAAGCUCUUGAAACUGGGAAACUUGAGUGCAGGAGAGGAAAGUGGAAUUCCUAUUGUAGCGGUGAAAUGCGUAGAUAUUAGGAGGAACACCAGUAGCGAAGGCGGCUUUCUGGACUGUAACUGACACUGAGGCACGAAAGCGUGGGGAGCAAACAGG